CCGGCAUGGUCAUCUCUCAGACACUAGUAUCUCAAGUCUGCAAACUGCAUACUGCUUUGAACAUCGACAUCUUGAACGCAUAUUGCGGCCAUGGGUUAGCCUGUGGCCACGCCUGUCCGAGGGUCG
RNAcentral lists this ribosomal RNA (126 nucleotides) under Fasciola gigantica. RNAcentral's name for it is "partial 5.8S ribosomal RNA". Lineage: Eukaryota; Metazoa; Platyhelminthes; Trematoda; Plagiorchiida; Fasciolidae. The record is from RNAcentral.